UCUGAAUCUGCGAACGGCUCCGUAAACCAGUUGUAAACUCGAGCAAGCUAGCCUGGGGAUGGCCCUCACGGGCUGACCCUGGGCUACAAGGAUAACCCUGGUAAUCCUGAGGCUAAUACAUGAGCGUAAACCCUGGGAGACUGGGCCUUCGGGCCUGGGAUCUUAGGGGGCGUGCGAGUUGAGGCUUGGGUUUUGCUGGGAAGGGGUGCACGUCCGGACCGCGUUACAAAGGACUGGCUGCUCCUCCUCCUUGCCCUCUCGGGGGUGGGGGGGGGUUGUGGUUGGCCCCAGCGGCUCUUGCUGUGUGCUUCUGACCUAUCAACUAGAUGGCAGCAUAAACGACAUGCUUUGGU
RNAcentral lists this ribosomal RNA (353 nucleotides) under Lamproderma columbinum. RNAcentral describes it as "bacterial SSU rRNA". It matches the Rfam family "Eukaryotic small subunit ribosomal RNA", at positions 80 to 350 of the family's 1831-position model. The record is from RNAcentral. Lineage: Eukaryota; Evosea; Eumycetozoa; Stemonitida; Stemonitidae.